RNAcentral lists this transfer RNA (72 nucleotides) under Ignatius tetrasporus. RNAcentral's name for it is "tRNA-Gly". It matches the Rfam family "tRNA". Rfam says of the family: Transfer RNA (tRNA) molecules are approximately 80 nucleotides in length. Lineage: Eukaryota; Viridiplantae; Chlorophyta; Ulvophyceae; Ignatiales; Ignatiaceae. The record is from RNAcentral. RNAcentral also lists the same sequence under 1 other name.
GCGGAAUUAGUUCAGUGGUAGAACGCUAGCCUUCCAAGCUCGAUGUCGCGGGUUCGAGUCCCGCAUUCCGCU